CCUACGGGAGGCAGCAGUGAGGAAUAGUGGGCAAUGGACGGAAGUCGGAACCAGCCAGGCCGCGUGCAGGAUGAAGGCGCGAUGAGUUGUAAACUGCUUUUGUAUGAGGGUAAACACCCCUACGUGUAGGGGCUUGAAAGUAUAAUACGAAUAAGGAUCGGCUAACUCCGUGCCAGCAGCCGCGGUAAUACGGAGGAUCCAAGCGUUAUCCGGAUUUAUUGGGUUUAAAGGGUGCGUAGGCGGGUUGAUAAGUUAGAGGUGAAAUACCGGUGCUCAACACCGGAACUGCCUCUAAUACUGUUGCACUAGAGUGUAGUUGCGGUAGGCGGCAUGUAUGGUGUAGCGGUGAAAUGCUUA
RNAcentral lists this ribosomal RNA (357 nucleotides) under uncultured bacterium. Its description in RNAcentral is "partial 16S ribosomal RNA". It matches the Rfam family "Bacterial small subunit ribosomal RNA", at positions 338 to 692 of the family's 1533-position model. The record is from RNAcentral.